Molecule: ribosomal RNA, 454 nt
Filed under: uncultured Bordetella sp.
Lineage: Bacteria; Pseudomonadati; Pseudomonadota; Betaproteobacteria; Burkholderiales; Alcaligenaceae
Description: bacterial SSU rRNA
Rfam family: Bacterial small subunit ribosomal RNA
Source: RNAcentral
GCACAAGCGGUGGAUGAUGUGGAUUAAUUCGAUGCAACGCGAAAACCUUACCUACCCUUGACAUGUCUGGAAUCCCGAAGAGAUUUGGGAGUGCUCGCAAGAGAACCGGAACACAGGUGCUGCAUGGCUGUCGUCAGCUCGUGUCGUGAGAUGUUGGGUUAAGUCCCGCAACGAGCGCAACCCUUGUCAUUAGUUGCUACGAAAGGGCACUCUAAUGAGACUGCCGGUGACAAACCGGAGGAAGGUGGGGAUGACGUCAAGUCCUCAUGGCCCUUAUGGGUAGGGCUUCACACGUCAUACAAUGGUCGGGACAGAGGGUCGCCAACCCGCGAGGGGGAGCCAAUCCCAGAAACCCGAUCGUAGUCCGGAUUGUAGUCUGCAACUCGACUACAUGAAGUCGGAAUCGCUAGUAAUCGUGGAUCAGAAUGUCACGGUGAAUACGUUCCCGGGUCUU